Long non-coding RNA from Brassica napus (rape), 4363 nucleotides. RefSeq lists it as uncharacterized. NCBI's taxonomy places the organism in Eukaryota, Viridiplantae, Streptophyta, Magnoliopsida, Brassicales, Brassicaceae. The record is from RefSeq and is a predicted model, not a curated record. The transcript has 2 exons.
UAAUUACAUAUUUAUAGUUAUAUCAUUUAAAUUAAUAAAUUUUGGACUCAACUAAAAACUAUUAAUAAAUUAAUGACUCAGCUUAAACCUAAUCAAAAUAUGACAAAUAAACAAAAUUACAUAAAAUCAUGGAAAUUAUGACAAAUAAGCUAAAUCACUUUAUAAAUAAUAGUAUAUAUAUAGAUUCUAACUGAGCAAAUCUCUUAUAUAAUAAAGCGCAAGUCGCAUAACCAAUCAAAUUUUAACAUUUGGCAUUUCUUAUAUAUUUUUUAAAAAAAUCAAAUGCAGUAAAUAAAAUUAAAUGAAAGAAAUGCCAAAUGUUAAUCUUUUUUAUAGCAAAUCCUUAAUAUUUCUAACACUACCUCCAUGAUCUCUUCACGAUCUUCAAAACAGUUAAUCUUUUUUAUAGCAAAUUUACUCAACGAUUCUAUAAAAUUCAGAUUCAUCUCUACCUAAAUUUUCCUAAGUAUUUGCAGUAGCUCCACUGAUUCUCUCUAUUUUGUUAAAGUGAUGAAAUUUCAGUUUUUUUUUUUAAUUUCUACUAACUAGAUUUUGACCCGCGCUUUCAAAGCGCGGGAUCGUUUCUUUUAAAAAUUUUAUUUAAAUUAAUAAAUAUUUGUCUAAUCUAUAUUUUAAUAGAUUUUAUAUUUGUUUAUAGUCAAUUAAUAAAUUUAGUGCUGCCUAUUUAUAAUAUCGACCUAAUUUAAAGCGAGAGUCUUCGGUUUGAGGAGAAAGUUGGGGGAUCCUCUCUUUAUUAUAUAAAACUAAUAACUAAAUACAGUUACCAUGAUUUACAUAAUAUAUGGUAACUAAUAUAAAUUCAGUUACCAUGUCAAACAGAAUAUAUAGUAACUAAUAUAAAUUCAGUUACGAAAAUGGAUGUUAUAGAGAAUAUUCUUGGAAUUAAUUUGUUGAAUCCGAAAAUAUAUGAGUUUCCAUUUAUUACUAAUAUAAAUUCAAUUACCAUGUCAAACAUAAUAUAUUCUAUGCGUAGUCAUCAAGGUAAUUUAGUUAAAUCGGAAAAUCUUGUUUCUAUAUAUUAUCUUUUGCAUUUAUUGUAUGUAGCAAUUACGAAAAUAGAUGUUAUAGAAAAUAUUCUUGGAAUUUAUUUGUUUUGAAUCCAAAAAUUUGUGAGUUUCUAUUUAUUAUGUUUUAUAUUUAUAUUUAUAUACCAACUUUGAUAAAUAUCAAUAUUAAAACGUGUUCAUUAUUGGCUGUUUAAAAGGUUAAUAACAUUGAGAACCAAUGAUUUCGAAAUAUGCUAACCAUAUACUAUUGAAAGAAGAAUUCCAUAUAAGACACAAGAAUUAUAAUGAAUAUCCAUAUAUUUGGUUUGUGUUUUUUGGACAACGGGUUUUUGAUGGUGUUAAUAGGGUUUGAAUAGAGUUAGAGUUUCAAUGUAGUCUUAGCGUAUAGGUUAGAACACAAACGAAUAUAGAUAGGUUAGUAAACAUAGACGAAAUGGACUUAAAAACGAUGGAUAAAUUGAUAAAUAUUUUUUAAAUGUAAUAUUUUCAUAAAUUUAAUAUUUUUAAUAGAAAAUUUACAACUUUCUUAAUUGAUUAAUUUUUGUAUGUAGAUUAGUUUGAAUUUUUUUUGCUAUAUUAUAUGUGUUUCCCUUAUAAUGUUAUAUUCUCUAUGUUUUAUUUAGAUUAUUUUUUGGGUAAUGAAAAGAAUGUUAAGGUAUAGAUAUUACAUUUAUUAAAAUAUUGUGAUAUUUUUUUACUUUUUAUUUUAUAACACAAUUUUAAAUUUCAUUUAUACAAAAUUUUCGAGUUGUUAAAGAAAAUUUGUUGCUAUAAUUUAUAAUAAGUCGACUUUAGAACUGAAAUUAAUAAUUUUAUGAAUUUUAUGGGCUUCCAAAUUGAUUUUGUCUCAAAUUAUAUAAAUUGGAAAGAUAUUGUAUUCAUUAAUUUCUGAAAAUCUCUCGAAGCCAAUCAUAACUACUUUUGGAUUUAAGUUACGGUAGUAUAGGAAUAUAAUAUAUUAAUCGAAAUCUGUCUCAAUCAAAUAUAUAUACUUCUGUCCAAGUUAGUAUAUGCAGUGUAGUUAAUAUAUUUUUUGUAGCCCAAGUUAUUCCUUAAUGUUCUAAAGUAUACAUUAAGAAAAUAGUUUAUUCUUUCUUCAAAUUUUAUCAUAUUUUUUAUUUGUUCUAUUUGUUGAGAUUUAUUAGUUCCUAUAAUUACUGAGAAUUGUUACCAUUUAAUUUUUUUUAAUAUAGAUAGAUCUUGAUGAAAUCUCGAUAGAUACAUAAAUACCAAGUUUAAAAAAAAAAUCGAAAUUAAGAAAAUAAUGAAAAAGUGGGUGUGUUUGAGGAUACAUUAUUGUAUGAAUGUAAUAUAAUAUGUAUAACUGUAAGUUAAAAUUCUAUAGUCGUUCAUUAUAUUAUUAUUUGUAUUAUCUAUCUUAUUUGUAUAAUAAUAUGAAUCUAUAAACUUUUGUUAUAUUAUUAUUUGUAUAAGCCUAAGUUUAAAUCAUUACACAUGCAUGUUUAUAUAAUUGAUAGUUUGUGCAUCUGUUAGGAUUUAGGUGAAACGCAAGUUCAGAGUUAUAUUUUGUAGUUUACGUUAUGUAUAGUAUAAGUUAUUUUUUUGGUUUAACAUAGAUAGAAAUGAUAUAGGGUAUCAGACCGAGUCUAUAUGUUGACUUAGAUUUUGUAUUAUCUAUCUAGGUACGAAAUAGGAUUAUUCCUGACUGAAUGAGCCUAACAAAACGUAAAUGUAAGUAGAAAAUAGGUUGGGCUUUUUUUUGUCAAUCGAAUAACACUGAAAAUAAUUUAAAUAGGAAAUGGAAUGUUUUAUAAUUAAUAAGAAAUUUCAGGGGUAGAUUCAUAAUAAGUAUUCUGCUUUAAUAGUAUAGAUGGUAUCAACACUCUCGAGACUACAAAUAUCUGGCUAAACAUUUGCACAACAAAUAAUUUUUGAGAAAGAACAAGUAAAAACAAAAUUUUCCAUAGCAAAGCUUCCCGCAAGGUUGAUCGAUAAUUUCCUGGUAAUAACUCCCAGACUCUUUAUGAGUCAAAUCAUAGUUUUUCAUUUUUUUUUUUUGUGAAUCUUUUUCUUUUUUUUUGCUAAAUUAUAAAUAUCAUUAAUGAAAAUGAAGGUUUGGUUACAAGUUUAACUUGAAACCACAAUCUGCUCAAGAGCUGAUUUGAUCCUAGAAACCGCAAAAAAAAUUAAAAAACCUCUAGGAUACACAAGGAUCAAUUUCAAACUUCUAACAAGAGAACUUGAAAUCAAUAGUCAAUAAGAUCAAGUAUAACAACAAUAUAAUUACCCUAAUCAAAGCACUUCUUGCUGCAUCUGAAACAAAUCGGAGGAAGCAAGAGUAUAGCCGGGGGAAGUUUAGUCGAAAACUCACCGAAGUGGCUCCAAGCAGGCAUCGACGGAGGCGCCUGGCUUACGCCCCGGAGCUCCGCUGGAGGAGGACGUCAACCAACAAAUCCUAACUAUCUCGGCUGGGAGACAAAAGUUAGUUUUCUCGGCUAACUUAUUUUAUAAUUAUUUUAUUUUAUUUUGUUUUGAAGAAUUUUCGAAGGACUAAAUUAGUUUUCAAUUUGCUGGCACAUGAUUCUUCGUUGUGGUCGUGGUAAUUCAUGGAAGGGAAGAACGAAGAUCAACAUAAGAAGCAACUCAAGAAAAAACAAUAUGUUGUGAUAACAAGAAGAUAGAAAAUGGGGAUUAAGAAAAUCAAGUGGUAGAAGAAACGAGGACUCAUGUCUACCUCUGUAUCAAGAUCUAACUUCAGGCCGGUUAAAAACCUGACGGAGAUAUGUCCGAAUACGUUUCAGUUAAUGGGGUUCCGGAUCUUCGAUUGUCGUGUUGGUUUACGAUGUGAUAUCAUAUCGCCGUCGUGGCGACGCCGCAGUGGACACACAAGAAAAUGAAGAAGACAAAGAAGAGGAUGAGAGACAGAGCAAAUCAAGGAUUAUCAAUUAACAGAAACGGUUAACAGAUUCGCUGGAGUUGUGUGGGGACACAAGGAGAGAUCGAAGAGGAAGAGGACAGAUGAAGGAGGAGAUGGUGAGAAGUGGAGGAAGAGAGUGUGAGCUGUAGCUUCUGAGAUUAUAUCUUUUGCCGAGAGAGUAAUGGGGAUGGAGAAGAAGAAGAAGAUGGAGUUUGCUAAAGAGACUGAUGAGUGGAUAUCAUAAUUUCACUUGUGGUCCCAUCCACAACUCUAUUCCAACCAUUGAUGAGUAACUAAAUUCCUGUUGAUCGCUUGUUGUUCAAGUGUUUUACUUUGCUUUGUGUAAGAAGCUGAGAGAGAGUUCUUGUUUGUUUCUCAGGUUUCAAUGUUGAAACUGUGAAAUACAAGUUAAAUUCCGGUUACAAGUUUGAUUCAACCAAAAGUUUUCUAAUUCAAA